CGGAAAUUAAUUCCUUAACCAAAUGGCAAAAUCAAAUGAUUAAACACAUCAAACGAAUGGACGACACUUGUCAUAUUCCUGACUUGUUACAGGCAUUUUCAAGGUGUAAAAAAAUAAUGGAUUGAACCUGGCUUAAAGAGCUGAACCUCUCACUUGUAUGACAGUCUUGUCAAAUUCCAUGAUAUUGAUAACGAUGCGUGAACAAAAAAGACACAAUAGGCCAAAAUGUAAAAAAACGAGAUAUACAACAACAACACCCAACCAACUAAAAACUGAAGAUGAUUUUAGAUGAUUCGGAAGGGUAAGCAAAUCCUGCUCCACGUGUGACGCCCAUCAUGUUGCUCAUUUUAUUACAAAGCCGGUAAAUAAUUGGUCAACCAACUCAUGAUGGCUUCCGUAAAAUUUAAGAAGUGAUGAUUUAAACUUCACCAUUUGGAACUCUUGGUUUAAAAUUGAAAAAGGUCACAAAUUUCUCCUUGCUAAAUAUCUAACACUUCUCUCAACAAGCCAAAAUUGUAAUGAUUUACAAAAAAGAGAAACUACCAUCCUCCACAUACAUGGCCAAGAAAACACUGAUAUAUAAUUUCCUAUUCAGAUGAAUUAAUAAUUAGAACAAAAAAGUUCUAAGGUUUACGUAUUAACUUUUUAAACAACUUGUUCUAAUAUUAACAAGUGAAUGUACAGCUAAGAGUAGUCGGGACCACUCUUACAAAAAAUGUCAAGUGAAGCUAUUGCGAAUUAUUCUUGGUACACCCC
This 756-nucleotide long non-coding RNA is filed under the name Mytilus galloprovincialis (Mediterranean mussel). The record is from RNAcentral. Lineage: Eukaryota; Metazoa; Mollusca; Bivalvia; Mytilida; Mytilidae.